RNAcentral lists this long non-coding RNA (3130 nucleotides) under Brassica napus (rape). Its description in RNAcentral is "long non-coding RNA (BNAP_LNC003715)". Lineage: Eukaryota; Viridiplantae; Streptophyta; Magnoliopsida; Brassicales; Brassicaceae. The record is from RNAcentral.
UUUUUAUUCAGAUGGGAUCAACGAUGAAGCGAUCGGUGUUUGAUGAGCAAACGUCAAAGGCAUUAAAGAUGUGGCAUAAGAAUGCAAAGAAAAAGAGUGAAACGCCAGGUCCAGUGCCUACAACCCGACCUAGAACCGCGGGCGAUAUCGAGUCUGCUCCGGCUAACAUCACCGCAAGUGUUGAUAAUAAGGAAGGAGAUCAGGGUCGUAAACCUGGUGACCUAUUAAGCGGUCCCUAGAAACCAGUUCGGUCAAGACACUGUACUUUCCGGCUUACUGAAAUACUAUUACAUAAUUUUUAUUAUUAUUAUAGGUUCUAAGCAUUUAUUUUAUGUAAUUAUUUGUUGUAUAACAAUAGUUCAAUUUUGUACAGCCUACCAAAGGACAUAAUAUAAAUCUGACCUAUAUAGCCUACAAGCUCGGGUUUAGCAUGAUUGAUCACCUUUAGCAACAACCUACCUUAGUGGUAAAGUUGAUGCAGUAACAUGUUUAAGCGAUAACAUAUGUGAUAAAUAACCUAUUUGCGGUUUUUUUUGUUGUCAUAACCAAUUUGAGUAAUGAUUUAUCUUUUUUUUUCAUGAUUUGAUCUUCAGAUAUUAAAUAGAAACUAAAACUUGCAACCAUUCGGGUCGGACUAGCCAGCUAACCCUACCUAAAAGUAAAUACAUCAUAUAAGAACCAGCUUUGUUCAGUAAGAGAAACUUCAAGAAAAUCCCGGGACAUAGAAAUCAAACCAAAGUUACAGUAAAGAAAAAGCAGUGUCAUUGGCUAAAGAUUUCUUUUAUUUGCUGGACAAGAAGACACAUCAUCUGGUGACACUAAGAAGGUAAAGGACACCGAUCACAUGCAGAGGCAUCUUCUCUCCCUUCAUCGCCGUGUUUUGGCUGGAGGUGCUCCUGCUGAGUGCAAGAAGGUCACCCAUCUCUCUCUCUUUGCCUUAUUAUUACAAAGCUUCUCUAUGUUGAUGUUGUUGUUGUUGUUCAGGGCUAUGUGCCGCUUAUAUCACUCAACGCGUUGCACCAAGUGCAUAUCUUUAUCUUCUUCUUGGCUGUGUUUCAUGUCAUUUAUAGUGCUAUUACCAUGAUGCUUGGAAGAGCAAAGGUAAAUUUAAAUAUAUAUAAUACAAUGUUUGAUCAAGGUGGUGACAUUGUUGUGUGUUUUUGUACAUGCAGAUUCGUGGAUGGAAAGUAUGGGAGGAAGAGGUCGUAAAUGAUCAUGAAAUGAUGGAUGGUUAGAUUUGUGAUUAUGAUUUCAGAUGUGGUCUAUAUCAUUAAGAAACGUAUUAACAAUUUUAAAAAAAAAUUAUUUUGGGUUAAAUUAUUAACAGUUUGUUUUUGAUUAAUGUAAUCUAUAGAUCCUUCUAGAUUUAGGCUCACACACGAAACAUCAUUUGUUCGAGAGCAUGUUAAUACUUGGGCGAGGAACAGAUUCUCCUUCUACGUUGUAUGAUUUUUGAGCUUCUUUAUUCCAUUUCUUGUGUCUCAAGCAAGAGAAAAAGAAAAUCCUCUUAUGAUUUUUGUUUUUCUUGCAGAUGUGUUUCUUACGUCAGAUGCUGAGAUCCGUAAGAAAAUCUGACUACUUGACGAUGCGUCAUGGGUUCAUUAGUGUAAGUUCUUUGAAAAUACGCAAACCAAUUUUCAAAUGAUCUUUCAACUUCUCUGAGAUUAGUUUUGUUUCCAAAAUUUUGUGUGUUACUUAGGUACAUUUGGCACCGGGUAUGAAGUUUAAUUUUCAAAAAUACAUCAAAAGGUCAUUAGAAGAUGACUUCAAGGUAGUGGUGGGAAUCAGGUAACUCAGAAAACCUCUUAACAUUUAUUCUUCUUACACUAAGAUUAACUUUCUUCAUCGUUUUUCUGAUGCAAUUUUAAAAUCUCUCCAGUCCUGCGCUAUGGGCCUUUGUAAUGAUCUUCUUACUCGUUGAUGUUCACGGUUCGUCAUUUUCAUAUCAUGUAUAGUAUUAUUCAACACGUACGGUAUAAGGUUUAGAAUCUCAUUGUUUUGGUAUUAACGUUUUAGGAUGGUAUGUUACUGCUGUGAUUACCAUGGUUCCUCCAGUUGUAAGUGACUCAGUCUCUACCUUGUAGCUUUUGCUUCUAUUAAAAGAACAAUAUAGAGAAAGUUUGUGAGCUUACUGACAAAUUGUGUAUGCUUUGAAGUUGACAUUAGCGAUAGGAACCAAGCUUCAGGCCAUUAUAUCAGACAUGGCGUUGGAGAUUCAGGAGAGACAUGCAGUGAUACAAGGGAUGCCACUAGUCAAUGUCUCUGACCGACAUUUCUGGUUCGCUCGUCCCGCUUUAGUCCUCCAUAUCAUCCAUUUCAUUCUCUUCCAGGUACUUUCACGGGUUAUAAAAAUUGGCCGAUUGAUAAAAGUGUGUAUUUUGUCUAUGUUCUAAUGAGCUUACUUGAUUGUUCAGAAUGCUUUUGAGAUCACCUACUUCUUUUGGAUAUGGGUAAGUAAAUAUAUACACACAACUCUCUUCUUCCCAUGAUGAUAUAUGUUUAGUUCACUUAUUCUGCUUCCAUUUUUGCAGUAUGAGUUCGGAUUAAGGUCCUGUUUUCAUCACCAUUUCUACCUCAUAAUCAUUCGGGUUGCUCUAGGGUGAGUCCUUUCUGGUUUACUUGACCCACAAGAAACACUAUUUUAUCAAAACUACCAUAUUUAAAACUUUUCUUAAUGCAGGGUGGGAGUACAAUUUCUUUGUAGCUACAUCACACUUCCUCUCUACGCUCUCGUGACUCAGGCAUGUCAAAGUUUUAUUUAAUAUAUUCUUUUGCCUCCUUUGAAAGUUUGGUUUAAGCUUUUACUUACUGUGGCGAUUAAAUGUUUUUAUUCAGAUGGGAUCAACGAUGAAGCGAUCGGUGUUUGAUGAGCAAACGUCAAAGGCAUUAAAGAUGUGGCAUAAGAAUGCAAAGAAAAAGAGUGAAACGCCAGGUCCAGUGCCUACAACCCGACCUAGAACCGCGGGCGAUAUCGAGUCUGCUCCGGCUAACAUCACCGCAAGUGUUGAUAAUAAGGAAGGAGAUCAGGGUCGUAAACCUGGUGACCUAUUAAGCGGUCCCUAGAAACCAGUUCGGUCAAGACACUGUACUUUCCGGCUUACUGAAAUACUAUUACAUAAUUUUUAUUAUU